Molecule: ribosomal RNA, 465 nt
Filed under: uncultured bacterium
Lineage: Bacteria
Description: partial 16S ribosomal RNA
Rfam family: Bacterial small subunit ribosomal RNA
Source: RNAcentral
GACGAACGCUGGCGGCGUGCUUAACACAUGCAAGUCGAACGGAAAGGCCCUGCUUGCAGGGUACUCGAGUGGCGAACGGGUGAGUAACACGUGGGUGAUCUGCCCUGCACUUCGGGAUAAGCCUGGGAAACUGGGUCUAAUACCGGAUAGGAGCCAUUUUUAGUGUGAUGGUUGGAAAGUUUUUUCGGUGUAGGAUGAGCUCGCGGCCUAUCAGCUUGUUGGUGGGGUAAUGGCCUACCAAGGCGGCGACGGGUAGCCGGCCUGAGAGGGUGGACGGCCACAUUGGGACUGAGAUACGGCCCAGACUCCUACGGGAGGCAGCAGUGGGGAAGAUUGCACCAUGGGCGCAAGCCUGAUGCAGAGACGCCGCGUGGGGGAUGACGGCCUUCGGGUUGUAAACUCCUUUCGCUAGGGACGAAGCUUUUUGUGACGGUACCUAGAUAAGAAGCACCGGCUAACUACGUG